CAGUUCGGAUUGGAGUCUGCAACUCGACUCCGUGAAGCUGGAUUCGCUAGUAAUCGCGCAUCAGCCAUGGCGCGGUGAAUGCGUUCCCGGGCCUUGUACACACCGCCCGUCAAGCCAUGGGAGUCGGGAGUGCCUGAAGUUCGUGACCGUCACAGGAGCGACCUAAGGCAAGACCGAUGACUGGGGCUAAGUCGUAACAAGGUACC
This 206-nucleotide ribosomal RNA is filed under the name uncultured bacterium. RNAcentral describes it as "partial 16S ribosomal RNA". It matches the Rfam family "Bacterial small subunit ribosomal RNA", at positions 1289 to 1500 of the family's 1533-position model. The record is from RNAcentral.